RNAcentral lists this ribosomal RNA (1371 nucleotides) under human gut metagenome. RNAcentral describes it as "bacterial SSU rRNA". It matches the Rfam family "Bacterial small subunit ribosomal RNA", at positions 8 to 1382 of the family's 1533-position model. The record is from RNAcentral.
AGAGUUUGAUCCUGGCUCAGGAUGAACGCUGGCGGCGUGCCUAAUACAUGCAAGUCGAACGCAUUACGCAAGUAAUGAGUGGCGAACGGGUGAGUAAGACAUAAGCAACCUAGCCUCAAGAGGGGGAUAACUAUUGGAAACGAUAGCUAAGACCGCAUAGGUGUAACUCUCGCAUGAGAGAGACAUUAAAUAUCCUUUCGGGGAUAGCUAGAGGAUGGGCUUAUGACGCAUUAGCUAGUUGGUGAGGUAGAGGCUCACCAAGGCGACGAUGCGUAGCCGGCCUGAGAGGGUGGACGGCCACACUGGGACUGAGACACGGCCCAGACUCCUACGGGAGGCAGCAGUGGGGAAUCUUCCGCAAUGGACGAAAGUCUGACGGAGCAACGCCGCGUGAGUGAAGAAGGAAUUCGUUCUGUAAACUUCUGUUAUAAAGGAAGAAAGAGGCAGUCAGGAAAUGGACUGCAGGUGACGGUACCUAAGGAGGAAGCCACGGCUAACUACGUGCCAGCAGCCGCGGUAAUACGUAGGUGGCAAGCGUUAUCCGGAUUUAUUGGGCGUAAAGCGAGCGCAGGCGGCAGCAAGGGUCUGUGGUGAAAGACUGAAGCUUAACUUCAGUAAGCCAUAGAAACCGGGCAGCUAGAGUGCAGGAGAGGAUCGUGGAAUUCCUAGUGUAGCGGUGAAAUGCGUAGAUAUAUGGAGGAACACCAGUGGCGAAGGCGACUUUCUGGCCUGUAACUGACGCUCAGUCCCGAAAGCGUGGGGAGCAAAUAGGAUUAGAUACCCUAGUAGUCCACGCCGUAAACGAUGAGUACUAAGUGUUGGAAGUCAAAUUUCAGUGCUGCAGUUAACGCAGUAAGUACUCCGCCUGAGUAGUACGUUCGCAAGAAUGAAACUCAAAGGAAUUGACGGGGGCCCGCACAAGCGGCGGAGCAUGCGGAUUAAUUCGAAGCAACGCGAAGAACCUUACCUGGGCUUGACAUAUGGGUGAAGCGGGGGAGACCCCGUGGCCGAGAGGAGCCCAUACAGGUGGUGCAUGGCUGUCGUCAGCUCGUGCCGUGAGAUGUUGGGUUAAGUCCCGCAACGAGCGCAACCCCCGCCGCAUGUUGCCAGCAGGUCAGGCUGGGCACCCAUGCGGGACCGCCGGCGUCAAGCCGGAGGAGGGCGGGGACGACGUCAAGUCAUCAUGCCCCUUAUGCCCUGGGCUGCACACGUGCUACAAUGGCCGGUACAGCGGGAUGCGAUGGCGCGAGCCGGAGCGGAUCCCUCAAAGCCGGCCCCAGUUCGGAUUGGGGGCUGCAACCCGCCCCCAUGAAGUCGGAGUUGCUAGUAAUCGAGGAUCAGCAUGCCGCGGUGAAUGCGUUCCCGGGCCUU